UGAUAGAUAGUACCGAUUGACAGAUAGGUAGACUGACAGAGCAGGAGACCCCCAGAUGAAGCUGUCUGAGAACAAUUCGACGGGGAGUGCUUCGGGUCGGGGUGUCCAACCUGCGGAACCGGGCGUCUCUCUUAAAAGGGGGACCCACCGCCCAGGCCCCUUCUGUCCGGAUGAACACGCCCGCUCCUUUCUACGCUCGCCUCUUGGCCCCAGUUGGAUCUCUGUUUAUUCCAUCAGGAUCUCCGUUUCGCCCAUUUGGUUGCCGAUGGAGCUAAGAGAGAAGCCCCCUCCGUUUCCCAGCAAGCGGCCAGGCUGUCGCGAAGGUCGGGGACACAGGUGAGGCCGGGAAAACUGCGAGAUCCAGAGACUGCGGAAAGAGGUGGAGAGUUGGACCAAGUCAGAGGGAAGCGGGAACAGCCUCGUCUCUGAACGGCAGCCUUCCCGCCGCUUCCCCCCAUCACCCCGGCCCGAGGAGUUUAGUUCGAGCAGCAACUGGGCGGCUUCUGGGCGUCGGAGGACCGGGGAAAAGCCCGAGGCUGGCGGCUCUCCGGUCCCGCAGGGCCAAACUGCAGGCAUCUGGGGGAUUGAAACCAACGACUUAUGGCCAAAAUGCACUGUGUCAUUCAUCUUAUCGGUCAGUCGGUAUUUAUUGAGCACUUACUGGGUAAUAGAGCACCCGCACUAACUGCUUAGGAGCGUACAGUGGGGUCUGUGGAUGGCAACUCUCUCUCCAGAGAACUUGCGGGUUAGCAGGAAAGAGACACAAAAAUAAAUUAAGGAUGGCGAAGAGCGGACUCCAAGGAGAGUGCUGCGAGGGUGUGGGUGAGGUGAGCAUCAGAAUGAUGCCUUAAAUGUCAGUCCAUAAAUCGGCCGUCUCCCAUCUCAAUUCAACCGGUGUUGUAGGGUCAGGGCUUUCUCGUUAAGUCCAGCACCGAUGCGGUAGUUGAUGAGUCUCCAUUUUUUUUCCAUUGGGAAUCCAGAAUUUUCUCUCUGCUCCCGAAGAGCAUCUGAACAAAUCAGAGCCACCCUCUCCAUCCGCCUAGCCGGGGGGCUCCGCGGGCAGCCCACUCCCCCGAAGGUUGAGCCCCGCAGAGGUCUGGGUGAUCGGUCAGCGGGGGGCGGUGAAAGGGAAUUUUUCUUUCCGAGUUCUGAAAUCGGAGUUCUGAUUAACUCGGCAGUGGGCAACGCGAGGGGCAAAUCAGACCGACAGCUUCAGGAGGUCGGGUAGUCGGUUCUCGCAUCCCCUCUGCCGUUUGGCACGGGGGAUUGCUUGGGACUUUAAACAUUUCAUCUGAUUUUUUUUAUUUAAAUAGACCUUCGCAGUUCUUCUUUUGCCUUUUUCCAAUGCCGGUUAAGUUCAUUACUCCAGACGAGAACUGAGAAUGUUUGCUUUCAUCUGAACCGGAGUGCGUCUGGAUUGUGUUACAGGGCGACUACGAAAAAUCAAAUGCAUUCUGAACUAAAUAAAACAAUAAAAACAGGAAAGGGUAAAACUGGUCCAAAUUUUGUUUCAUGAAAUGUUUCAAAUUCUUUGACUAAAAUUUGAAGUAUCCCUCUCGUUUCUUAAUUCAACCUGGGGAAAGGAAAUUUAAUCUUCAAGGAGAUUUACUUUGAAAUAAUCAAAAUCACAUUUCGAAAACCCAAAUGGGAUAACUGAACACUAGCUGUCAAGCAGUCUUAACCAACUCUUUGAGCCUGAUUUUUCUACAGCGGCAUUUUGGGUUCAACAUACAGCAACUCCAAGUCCAGAAUAUAGAGCUCUGCCUCCAAGUCCGUACACUCGAGAUGGAAAUUGGAAUAUAGUAAAACAGGAUUAGAUGCCAGCCGCGAUAAUGGGGAAAGCCUAUUUUUAUUUAUUUAACGGCACAUCAAAGAGGAAACUAAAGUGAUUCUAAUGGAUGAGGGGUUUUGGUGUCACAGGUAUUCCCAACGCACGCAAGUUACCUACUCCCAUCCAGCUAGAGUAUCGAUUAUUUACUCGGUGCAGAGCGUCGUGCUUAGCACCUGGGCGAGUGCUUGCGGACGCAUGAUUUCUGCCCAGUUUGAGCCGACAGCGUGCAUUUCCUGCGGACAAUAAUUCCCUUUCUUGGAAUUCUGCGACGGCCCUCUCGCUCAACAUUUACUGACGUCACUCGACUACCGUAAUUUCAACGGUUUACUCUUUCUUCGUUGCUUUGCCUUGUUCAACCGUGAACAGGUUUGUUUCUGAAAAGCAUCUAGGUGAGCCUGGCAUGCCCUAAUAGCUAUUACCCCCGCCUUUU
RNAcentral lists this long non-coding RNA (2261 nucleotides) under Ornithorhynchus anatinus (platypus). Its description in RNAcentral is "lncRNA (ENSOANG00000038041.1)". The record is from RNAcentral. Lineage: Eukaryota; Metazoa; Chordata; Mammalia; Monotremata; Ornithorhynchidae.